CCCUUAGACGUUCUGGGCCGCACGCGCGCUACACUGACCAGUGCAACAAGCAUCCGUCCUUGGCCGACAGGCCCGGGCAAUCUUUGAACGCUGGUCGUGAUGGGGAUAGACUUUUGCAAUUUUUGGUCUUCAACGAGGAAUUCCUAGUAAACGCAAGUCAUCAACUUGCAUUGAUUACGUCCCUGCCCUUGUACACACCGCCCGUCGCACCUACCGAUUGAAUGGUCCGGUGAAGCCUCCGGAUUGGCGCGCACCUCGGUGCCGCCGAGAAGUUGGCUAAACCUUACCAUUUAGAGGAAGGUGAAGUCGUAACA
Molecule: ribosomal RNA, 314 nt
Filed under: uncultured eukaryote
Lineage: Eukaryota
Description: partial 18S ribosomal RNA
Rfam family: Eukaryotic small subunit ribosomal RNA
Source: RNAcentral